CUGUGGCACACAUGCUUACUAAAAGUGGAAUGACAUAGGGAAGACAACACGGCACUGGCACAAGGAUGAGGUCCAAAUUCAUGAAAUUUUCCUUAUCUUU
RNAcentral lists this small nuclear RNA (100 nucleotides) under Fukomys damarensis (Damara mole-rat). Lineage: Eukaryota; Metazoa; Chordata; Mammalia; Rodentia; Bathyergidae. The record is from RNAcentral.